RNAcentral lists this ribosomal RNA (245 nucleotides) under uncultured bacterium. RNAcentral describes it as "partial 16S ribosomal RNA". It matches the Rfam family "Bacterial small subunit ribosomal RNA", at positions 524 to 769 of the family's 1533-position model. The record is from RNAcentral.
UACGGAGGUUGCAAGCGUUGUUCGGAUUUACUGGGCGUAAAGGGAGCGCAGGCGGUUUGGUCAGUCUGAAGUGAAAUCCCGGGGCUCAACCCCGGAUGGCUUUGGAUACUGCCAGACUUGAGUUCGUGAGAGGCGAGUGGAAUUCCAGGUGUAGCGGUGAAAUGCGUAGAUAUCUGGAGGAACACCAGUGGCGAAAGCGGCUCGCUGGCACGAUACUGACGCUCAUGCUCGAAAGCGUGGGGAGC